RNAcentral lists this ribosomal RNA (575 nucleotides) under uncultured bacterium. RNAcentral describes it as "partial 16S ribosomal RNA". It matches the Rfam family "Bacterial small subunit ribosomal RNA", at positions 355 to 922 of the family's 1533-position model. The record is from RNAcentral.
UGGGGAAUUUUGGACAAUGGGGGCAACCCUGAUCCAGCAAUGCCGCGUGUGUGAAGAAGGCCUUCGGGUUGUAAAGCACUUUUGUCCGGAAAGAAAACGCCGUGGUUAAUACCCGUGGCGGAUGACGGUACCGGAAGAAUAAGCACCGGCUAACUACGUGCCAGCAGCCGCGGUAAUACGUGGGGUGCAAGCGUUAAUCGGAAUUACUGGGCGUAAAGCGUGCGCAGGCGGUCCGCUAAGACAGAUGUGAAAUCCCCGGGCUUAACCUGGGAACUGCAUUUGUGACUGGCGGGCUAGAGUAUGGCAGAGGGGGGUAGAAUUCCACGUGUAGCAGUGAAAUGCGUAGAGAUGUGGAGGAAUACCGAUGGCGAAGGCAGCCCCCUGGGCCAAUACUGACGCUCAUGCACGAAAGCGUGGGGGAGCAAACAGGAUUAGAUACCCUGGUAGUCCACGCCCUAAACGAUGUCAACUAGUUGUUGGGGAUUCAUUUCCUUAGUAACGUAGCUAACGCGUGAAGUUGACCGCCUGGGGAGUACGGUCGCAAGAUUAAAACUCAAAGGAAUUGACGGGGUCAU